UGUGGAGUCGUUGGUCGCCGACAAGUUGUAGCAGGAGCAGGGCACGCGGUGCGUCUCCGACCCGUUGCCUCUGAGGACGUGGACCCGGAACCAGUCCUGCGGGGAGUGCCAGCCGCAGCAGCGCAGCUGGGAGAGGGAAAAAGAAACCAGGUGCAGAAGCGGAACGGGAGAGCAGACAUGGAACGUGAGCACCGAAGCACAGCAUCACAUAGAGACAGUUAAGCCCCCGGAUGUCUGUGGGUCUCCCUGACAGCCCUCAAGCCUUGCCACAAGAGCUUGGGGGAGUGGAGUUUUCUCCUAACUUCCCCAGGAAGGAGAUAUCUCGGCCAUUUUGGACGUCUCCUUCCCUAGCUGGCGCUGCUGCACAGCCGAGGCGGCCUCCCCUCCAGCAGCCCUUAUGGGGGCGUGACAGAGGCUUAGAGCAUUUUGCCUUAGGCUCACCUUGUUCACAAUGUCACCUCAGUUCCAUGCUUCAUAACCUGAUAGUCAUUAGUACAAUUAAAGGUUAUAUUGAGUAUAUAUCUUUAUGAUUCUAAGUAACUAUAAGAUUACACGUGAUUAUAUAAAGGAAUAACUAUGUGCUUAUAUUUCUAAUUCUUUUCUAAAUCAAUAUUUAUAUGGGAGCAGGCUGAGGCUUCAGACCCUUGCCACGGCACUUGCGGGGUUCCCCCCACAACUGGGUCAAAGCCCCGUCUAGUCCCCUCUUCCACAACAGUUCAUUGGUUUCUAAGCCAGGUCUCUCCUGCCUCCUGAGUCUCCCCUGCACCCCUCUUCUCUGUCCUCAGGGCUCGGUCAGGCUCAGGGCUCCUGCUCUCCUACCUGGAACCUGACUCUAGGGUCUCCCUGACCUCUAGUCUCUCCCUUCCAGUCUAUCCCCCACAAAGCCCCAGAGGGGUCCCUUUGAAACCCUGACCUGAGCCACACAGCUCUGUAUCCGAACACUGAGUCACCACCUGCGUCGUCCCUCAGCUUCUGUUUCUUUUGUUGUUGUUGAGACAGUCUCUGUUGCCCAGGAUGGAGUGCAGUGGUGCAGUCUUGGCUCACUGCAACCUUCACCUCCUGGGUUCAAACAAACGAUUCUCCCGCCUCAGCCUCAUGAGUAGCUGGGAUUUACAGGCACCCGCCAUCAUGCCCAGCUAAUUUUUGUAGUUUUAGUAGAGGUGGGGUUUCGCCAUGUUGGCCAGGCUGGUCUUGAACUCCUGACCUCAGGUGAUCCGCCAGCCUUGGCCUCCCGAAGUCCUGGGAUUACAGGCGUAAGCCGUUGCACCCGACCUGGCAAUCUGUGUUUUAACAAGCCUUUCUGGUGACUCUGAUGUGCAUUAACGUUUGAGAACAGCAUUUCUAACUAUUUAAUUCACCAGAUUCCCCCCCCCUCUUUUACUGGCAAAUUCCCUCUUGCUUUUUUCUUUCUUCCUUCUUCACUGGCUGAUUCUCCUCAAUCUAUAGUGGAUCUUCCUUUUUACAGCUUAUAAAAUCUGGGGAGUCCCAGCCCUUUCUAGGUGCACUCACUCACGAGAUGAUAUCAUGCAGUCCCAUAGUGUUCCUCGAAAUCUACCAUACUGUUGACUCAUCAGUUUAUAUGCCUAGCCUCAAACGCUAACCCAGAACUGCAGACUCAGGGAGAUCUGUUUGCUGAGUCAACCUCUCCCUUUGGCUGUGUAACUGACAUCGCAAACUAACCUGCUCAAAACGAAACUACUGAUUCCCUCCUACCUUCUGCUCACUCCAGUACUUUUCUUUUCAGUAAAUUGUGACUCCAUCUUCCAAUUCUUCAGGCUCAAAGUUUUGGAGCCCUUUUUUUUUUUUUUUUUUUUUUUUGAGGCAGUCUCGCUCUGUGUCACCAGGCUGGAGUGCGGUGGCAGAAUUUUAGUAGAGAUGUGGUUUCAACAUAUUGGCUGGGAUGGUCUCAAACUCCUGACCCCGUGAGCCACACCUGCCUCAGCCUCCCAAAGUGCUGGGGUUACAGGCAUGAGCCACCUCGCCCAGCCUUAGUACAAUUUAUAAUCACGUAAUUAUUUGCGAGUCAUCAUAUAUCUGUUUUCCUGCUGUGUGAAGCAAACUGAGGGCAGGAAUGGGGUCUCUUUUGUUCUCUACAGUAUUCCUAAUUCCUAGCAUUUAAUAGACUCUCAGUAAAUACGUGUUGAAGGAUUGAAUGAUUCCCAAAGAUUGUGAUGAAUUCUUAAAGCACCCCCACAAUUUCCUCUUCAUCUCUUUGUUCAAUCAUAACAAUUUAAGCCUAUGAUUCUCCAAGUGUGCCCUAGGGACUCCUGGGGGCUCUUGAAACACUUCUGGGAGUCUGCGAGGUGAACAUUAUUUUCGUAAUACUACUAGGAUGUUAUUUGCCUUUCACUGUCAUUUCCUUUUUGCAUACUGUGAUGUUUGCCAGAAGCUACAAGACACGAUCUAUUUUGACACACUUAAUGCAGAAGCAGAUACGAGAAUCCAGCUGUCGUAUAUGAAGCCGGGCAUUAAAGAUAUUUGCAAAAAUGUAAAACAAUGCCAUUCUUCUCCCUAAAAUUUCUUUUGGUGUAGAAAUUAUAGUUAUUUUAAAUAAAAAUGUUAUUUUGACACAUAA
This is a non-coding RNA of Callithrix jacchus (white-tufted-ear marmoset), 2575 nucleotides long. Lineage: Eukaryota; Metazoa; Chordata; Mammalia; Primates; Cebidae. The record is from RefSeq and is a predicted model, not a curated record.